CCUACGGGAGGCAGCAGUCGAGAAUUAUUCACAAUGGGGGAAACCCUGAUGGUGCGACGCCGCGUGGGGGAAUGAAGGUCUUCGGAUUGUAAACCCCUGUCAUGUGGGAGCAAAUUCAAAAGAUAGUACCACAAGAGGAAGAGACGGCUAACUCUGUGCCAGCAGCCGCGGUAAUACAGAGGUCUCAAGCGUUGUUCGGAAUCACUGGGCGUAAAGGGUGCGUAGGCUGUUUCGUAAGUCGUGUGUGAAAGGCGCGGGCUCAACCCGCGGACGGCACAUGAUACUGGGAGACUAGAGUAAUGGAGGGGGAACCGGAAUUCGCGGUGUAGCAGUGAAAUGCGUAGAUAUCGAGAGGAACACUCGUGGCGAAGGCGGGUUCCUGGACAUUAACUGACGCUGAGGCACGAAAGCCAGGGGAGCGAAAGGGAUUAGAUACCCUUGUAGUC
This 446-nucleotide ribosomal RNA is filed under the name uncultured bacterium. RNAcentral's name for it is "partial 16S ribosomal RNA". It matches the Rfam family "Bacterial small subunit ribosomal RNA", at positions 338 to 795 of the family's 1533-position model. The record is from RNAcentral.